GACGAACGCUGGCGGCGUGCUUAACACAUGCAAGUCGAACGGAAAGGCCUGCUUUCCCUUAUGGAUUGCGGGUACUCGAGUGGCGAACGGGUGAGUAACACGUGAGUGAUCUGCCCCCAACUUGGGUAUAAGCCUGGGAAACUGGGUCUAAUUCCCGAUAGGACUGCAGGGUGGUGCCUGUGGUGGAAAACGAUUUUCUAGUGGUUGGGGAUGAGCUCGCGGCCUAUCAGCUUGUUGGUGGGGUAAUGGCCUACCAAGGCGGCGACGGGUAGCCGGCCUGAGAGGGUGGACGGCCACAUUGGGACUGAGAUACGGCCCAGACUCCUACGGGAGGCAGCAGUGGGGAAUAUUGCACAAGGGGCGGAAGCCUGAUGCAGCGACGCCGCGUGGGGGAUGACGGCCUUCGGGUUGUAAACUCCUUUCGACCGCGAGGAAGCCACCUGGUUGGAAGGGUGGUGACGGUAGUGGUAGAAGAAGCACCGGCUAACUACGUG
Molecule: ribosomal RNA, 494 nt
Filed under: uncultured bacterium
Lineage: Bacteria
Description: partial 16S ribosomal RNA
Rfam family: Bacterial small subunit ribosomal RNA
Source: RNAcentral